This 253-nucleotide ribosomal RNA is filed under the name uncultured bacterium. RNAcentral describes it as "partial 16S ribosomal RNA". It matches the Rfam family "Bacterial small subunit ribosomal RNA", at positions 524 to 776 of the family's 1533-position model. The record is from RNAcentral.
UACGAGGGGGGCAAAUGUUGUUCGGAAUCACUGGGCGUAAAGGGAGCGUAGGCGGGUUCUUAAGUAAGGUGUUUAAUCCCGGGGCCCAACCCCGGACCGGCACUUGAAACUGGGAAUCUUGAAUAGUGGAGAGGCCAGUGGAAUUGGGGGUGUAGCGGUGGAAUGCGUAGAGAUCCCCAAGAACACCAGUUGCGAAGGCGGCUGACUGGACACAUAUUGACGCUGAGGCUCGAAAGCAUGGGGAGCAAACAGG